GAUGAACGCUGGCGGCGUGCCUAACACAUGCAAGUCGAACGGACUCUUAUUUCGAUUUUAUUUUUAUAUAUCGAAAGCUGACAUACUGUUUGGGAGCGCCUCGACGACCGUUUGCGGUUGGAGCGAAGCGACCAAGCACGUAUGUCAGCUUACUUUAGAGUUAGUGGCGGACGGGUGAGUAACACGUUAGUACCUGCCCUCUAGUGGGGGAUAACUGCCCGAAAGGGUAGCUAAUACCGCAUGUGAUCACUUGUGAUCAAAGCAGCAAUGCGCUAGAGGAGGGGCUUGCGUCUGAUUAGCUUGGUUGGGCGGGGUAAUACGCCCACCAAGGCGACGAUUAGUAGCUGGUUCGAGAGGAUGACCAGCCACAC
This 371-nucleotide ribosomal RNA is filed under the name uncultured bacterium. RNAcentral's name for it is "partial 16S ribosomal RNA". It matches the Rfam family "Bacterial small subunit ribosomal RNA", at positions 28 to 313 of the family's 1533-position model. The record is from RNAcentral.